RNAcentral lists this ribosomal RNA (254 nucleotides) under uncultured bacterium. Its description in RNAcentral is "partial 16S ribosomal RNA". It matches the Rfam family "Bacterial small subunit ribosomal RNA", at positions 524 to 777 of the family's 1533-position model. The record is from RNAcentral.
UACAGAGGUCUCAAGCGUUGUUCGGAUUCAUUGGGCGUAAAGGGUGCGUAGGCGGCGCGGUAAGUCGGGUGUGAAAUCUCGGGGCUUAACUCCGAAACUGCAUUCGAUACUACCGUGCUUGAGGACUGGAGAGGAGACUGGAAUUUACGGUGUAGCGGUGAAAUGCGUAGAUAUCGUAAGGAAGACCAGUGGCGAAGGCGGGUCUCUGGACAGUUCCUGACGCUGAGGCACGAAGGCCAGGGGAGCAAACGGGG